AAUAAAAACCUAAAGAAAAUA
Molecule: microRNA, 21 nt
Filed under: Hyalella azteca
Lineage: Eukaryota; Metazoa; Arthropoda; Malacostraca; Amphipoda; Hyalellidae
Description: miR-737
Source: RNAcentral